This 508-nucleotide ribosomal RNA is filed under the name uncultured bacterium. Its description in RNAcentral is "partial 16S ribosomal RNA". It matches the Rfam family "Bacterial small subunit ribosomal RNA", at positions 28 to 523 of the family's 1533-position model. The record is from RNAcentral.
GAUGAACGCUAGCUACAGGCUUAACACAUGCAAGUCGAGGGGAAACGAUAGAGAAAGCUUGCUUUUUCUAGGCGUCGACCGGCGCACGGGUGAGUAACGCGUAUCCAACCUGCCCACCACUUGGGGAUAACCUUGCGAAAGUAAGACUAAUACCCAAUGAUAUCUCAAGAAGACAUCUGAAUGAGAUUAAAGAUUUAUCGGUGAUGGAUGGGGAUGCGGCUGAUUAGCUUGUUGGCGGGGUAACGGCCCACCAAGGCGACGAUCAGUAGGGGUUCUGAGAGGAAGGUCCCCCACAUUGGAACUGAGACACGGUCCAAACUCCUACGGGAGGCAGCAGUGAGGAAUAUUGGUCAAUGGGCGAGAGCCUGAACCAGCCAAGUAGCGUGCAGGAUGACGGCCCUAUGGGUUGUAAACUGCUUUUAUAAGGGAAUAAAGUGAGUCUCGUGAGACUUUUUGCGUGUACCUUAUGAAUAAGGACCGGCUAAUUCCGUGCCAGCCGCCGCGGUAA